GCGAGCGUGGCGGAAUUGGUAGACGCACUGGAUUUAGGUUCCAGCGCCUUACGGUGUGGGAGUUCGAGUCUCCCCGCUCGCACCA
This 85-nucleotide transfer RNA is filed under the name Neisseriaceae bacterium JH1-16. Its description in RNAcentral is "tRNA-Leu". It matches the Rfam family "tRNA". Rfam says of the family: Transfer RNA (tRNA) molecules are approximately 80 nucleotides in length. Lineage: Bacteria; Pseudomonadati; Pseudomonadota; Betaproteobacteria; Neisseriales; Neisseriaceae. The record is from RNAcentral. RNAcentral also lists the same sequence under 1 other name.